Molecule: ribosomal RNA, 347 nt
Filed under: uncultured bacterium
Lineage: Bacteria
Description: partial 16S ribosomal RNA
Rfam family: Bacterial small subunit ribosomal RNA
Source: RNAcentral
CCUACGGGAGGCAGCAGUGAGGAAUAUUGGUCAAUGGACGAGAGUCUGAACCAGCCAAGUAGCGUGAAGGAUGACUGCCCUAUGGGUUGUAAACUUCUGUUAUAGGGGAAUAAAACGGUCCACGUGUGGGAUUUUGUAUGUACCAUAUGAAUAAGGAUCGGCUAACUCCGUGCCAGCAGCCGCGGUAAUACGGAGGAUCCGAGCGUUAUCCGGAGUUAAUGGGGUUCAAGGGAGCGUAGGUGGAUUGUUAAGUCAGUUGUGAAAGUUUGCGGCGCAACCGUAAAAUUGCAGUUGAAACGGGCAGUCUUGCGUACAGUAUAGGUGGGCUGCCUUCGUUGUGUAGCGGU